Long non-coding RNA from Lemur catta (Ring-tailed lemur), 592 nucleotides. RefSeq lists it as uncharacterized. The transcript is spliced from 3 exons. Lineage: Eukaryota; Metazoa; Chordata; Mammalia; Primates; Lemuridae. The record is from RefSeq and is a predicted model, not a curated record.
UUGGGUGGAGACCAGCUUUUUCGCUGCUGCUUUCUCCCGGCUUCACUCACCUGCCCAUGUCGCCUGUAAACCCGGCUUCAUGUCUCUGGUGGCACUGUACUGGGAACCUCCAGGCCCAUGGCCACUGGCCAGAGGGAGCCCUCUGCAACCCACUCUUCUGUCUCGAGCUGCGGGACAGACGACGAGGGCGUGCGCUGCACCUGCGAAGAUGCUUCUCUGUGAAAAAGGGAUAAUGAGAAUAUUACCUGUCUCAGAGGGUUAUUGUGAACAUUAAAUGUGGAGUGCUUCUAACAGUGCUUGGCAUACGGUUUGCAGUAAGGCUACUGGCAUGACCCUUCCACCCAGCACUUUGUGAGACUGACUAAAGAGAGGAAGGCCCCGGAAAUUAACAGAGGCAAGUGACCAUCUCCCUCCCCAACUUCUUUUCAUCAGCCUGGAGGCCGGAGGUUGUAGAGAUUCUUACAAGGGAGUUCCAGCCUGCAUCUUUGCCGAUAGUAUAGGAAAGUGCUUACUUCCCAACAUCCUCACCAACACGGUGUAUCAUGAAACUUUUUGCUCUUUGUUAAUCUGAUAAAUGAAAAAUGGCAUCUUA